CAAGUCUGAGCGGCAGCGCGGGGGAACCCUGGCGGGAGCGGCGAACGGGGCCUUUCGGAACGUACCCUGACGUGGGGGAUAACACAAAAACUUGCUAAUACCGCAUACGACCUGAGGGUGAAAGCGGGGGACCGAAGGGCCUCGCGCGACAGGAGCGGCCGAUAUCGGAUUAGCUAGUUGGUGGGGUAAAGGCUCACCAAGGCGACGAUCCGUAGCUGGUCUGAAGGAUGAUCAGCCACACUGGAACUGAGACACGGUCCAGACUCCUACGGGAGGCAGCAGUGGGGAAUUUUGGACAAUGGGGGCAACCCUGAUCCAGCCAUUCCGCGCGAGUGAAGAAGGCCUUCGGGUUGUAAAGCUUUUCGGAGGAACGAAACGGCGGGCUCUAACAUAGUCUGUCAAUGACGGUACCUGAAGAAGAAGCACCGGCUAACUACGUGCCAGCAGCCGCGGUAAUACGUAGGGUGCGAGCGUUAAUCGGAAUUACUGGGCGUAAAGCGUGCGCAGGCGGUUUCGUAAGACAGAUGUGAAAUCCCCGGGCUUAACCUGGGAACUGCGUUUGUGACUGCGAGACUUGAGUGUGGCAGAGGGGGGUGGAAUUCCACGUGUAGCAGUGAAAUGCGUAGAGAUGUGGAGGAACACCGAUGGCGAAGGCAGCCCCCUGGGUUAACACUGACGCUCAUGCACGAAAAGCGUGGGGAGCAAACAGGAUUAGAUCCCCUGGUUUU
This 728-nucleotide ribosomal RNA is filed under the name uncultured bacterium. Its description in RNAcentral is "bacterial SSU rRNA". It matches the Rfam family "Bacterial small subunit ribosomal RNA", at positions 58 to 794 of the family's 1533-position model. The record is from RNAcentral.